Molecule: ribosomal RNA, 397 nt
Filed under: Oomycota sp.
Lineage: Eukaryota; Oomycota
Description: Oomycetes sp. partial small subunit ribosomal RNA
Rfam family: Eukaryotic small subunit ribosomal RNA
Source: RNAcentral
AUUCCAGCUCCAAUAGCGUAUAUUAAAGUUGUUGCAGUUAAAAAGCUCGUAGUUGGAUUUCUGUUUUGAAUGUCCGGUCGGUCAGUUUCUGAUGUGUACUUUGGAUAUUCGAAGCAUUUUUUGUGAGGGUCCUUGACUGGCAUUAAGUUGUUGGUUUUGGAAGCUUGCAUCGUUUACUGUGAAAAAAUUAGAGUGUUUCAAGCAGGCGUUUGCUUUUGAAUACAUUAGCAUGGAAUAAUAAGAUACGACUAGCGUGGUCUAUUUUGUUGGUUUGCACACGCAAGUAAUGAUUAAUAGGGACAGUUGGGGGUAUUCAUAUUUGAGCGUCAGAGGUGAAAUUCUUGGAUCGCUGAAAGAUGAGCUUAGGCGAAAGCAUUUAUCAUGGAUGUUUUCAUCA